GAACAUGGCUGAAUGGUUGAUAUCCCGAUUUUGUAAAUGGUAUAGUUCU
This 49-nucleotide transfer RNA is filed under the name Anathallis obovata. RNAcentral's name for it is "partial tRNA-Ser". Lineage: Eukaryota; Viridiplantae; Streptophyta; Magnoliopsida; Asparagales; Orchidaceae. The record is from RNAcentral.